This 189-nucleotide unclassified non-coding RNA is filed under the name Glomus sp. RNAcentral describes it as "partial contains 5.8S ribosomal RNA and internal transcribed spacer 2". The stretch from base 1 to 65 matches the Rfam family "5.8S ribosomal RNA", at positions 84 to 154 of the family's 154-position model. Lineage: Eukaryota; Fungi; Glomeromycota; Glomeromycetes; Glomerales; Glomeraceae. The record is from RNAcentral.
GUGAAUCAUCGAAUUUUUGAACGCAAAUUGCACUCUCUUCGGAGAGUAUGCCUGUUUGAGGGUCAGCCUAAAAAAAAAAAAUCGACAUAGUCGCUGUUUCGCGGUGACAUUCGUCGGAAAUUUUUUCAUCUUAAAUUUUUGGGUUUUAUUUGUCUUUAAAUUUUCUUUACGGUUCCCCGAACUUUUUUA